AUGCCAGGCUCAUCAAAGAAGGAGGGAGGCCUGGGUUUACGGGAUCUACACAUUUUCAACCUCGCAAUGCUGUCCCGUCAGCGGUGGCGGCUGCUGGACGCCCCGGGUACUCUUUGUGCUCGAGUCCUCAAAGCUCGGUACUACCCAAACUGCUCAGUCCUGGAGGCAGAGGCGAAGGAUGGCAUUUCGUACACAUGGAGAAGUAUUCUCAAAGGCAUUGCACUCUUCAAGGAAGGAGUGAUUUGCGGAGUGGGUUCACGGGAUAACAUUAAGGUGUGGGAGGACCCAUGGAUACCAUGGGGUGACACAGAAAACCGAGGUCUGUCUGAGGCAACGCUGUCAUUACUAAGGUAA
Molecule: ribosomal RNA, 354 nt
Filed under: Triticum aestivum (bread wheat)
Lineage: Eukaryota; Viridiplantae; Streptophyta; Magnoliopsida; Poales; Poaceae
Description: partial small subunit ribosomal RNA
Source: RNAcentral